AGAGUUUGAUCCUGGCUCAGGACGAACGCUGGCGGCGUGCUUAACACAUGCAAGUCGAACGGAAAGGCCCCUUUCGGGGGGUGCUCGAGUGGCGAACGGGUGAGUAACACGUGGGUGAUCUGCCCUGCACUCUGGGAUAAGCUUGGGAAACUGGGUCUAAUACCGGAUGGGACCGCAUGCUGCAUGGUGUGUGGUGGAAAGCUUUUGCGGUGUGGGAUGGGCCCGCGGCCUAUCAGCUUGUUGGUGGGGUGAUGGCCUACCAAGGCGACGACGGGUAGCCGGCCUGAGAGGGUGUCCGGCCACACUGGGACUGAGAUACGGCCCAGACUCCUACGGGAGGCAGCAGUGGGGAAUAUUGCACAAUGGGCGCAAGCCUGAUGCAGCGACGCCGCGUGGGGGAUGACGGCCUUCGGGUUGUAAACCUCUUUCAGUAUCGGCGAAGCUCCCGGCUUUUGUUGGGGGUGACGGUAGGUACAGAAGAAGCACCGGCCAACUACGUGCCAGCAGCCGCGGUAAUACGUAGGGUGCGAGCGUUGUCCGGAAUUACUGGGCGUAAAGAGCUCGUAGGUGGUUUGUCGCGUUGUUCGUGAAAACUCACAGCUUAACUGUGGGCGUGCGGGCGAUACGGGCAGACUGGAGUACUGUAGGGGAGACUGGAAUUCCUGGUGUAGCGGUGGAAUGCGCAGAUAUCAGGAGGAACACCGGUGGCGAAGGCGGGUCUCUGGGCAGUAACUGACGCUGAGGAGCGAAAGCGUGGGGAGCGAACAGGAUUAGAUACCCUGGUAGUCCACGCCCUAAACGAUGCGAACUGGAUGUUGGGUACAUUACGGUACUCAGUGUCGAAGCUAACGCGUUAAGUUCGCCGCCUGGGGAGUACGGUCGCAAGACUGAAACUCAAAGGAAUUGACGGGGGCCCGCACAAGCGGUGGAGUAUGUGGUUUAAUUCGAUGCAACGCGAAGAACCUUACCUGGCCUUGACAUCUGUCGAAUCCUGCAGAGAUGCGGGAGUGCCGCAAGGAACGACAAGACAGGUGCUGCAUGGCUGUCGUCAGCUCGUGUCGUGAGAUGUUGGGUUAAGUCCCGCAACGAGCGCAACCCUUGUCCCUAGUUGCCAGCACGUAAUGGUGGGAACUCUAGGGAGACUGCCGGUGACAAACCGGAGGAAGGUGGGGAUGACGUCAAGUCCUCAUGGCCCUUACGGCCAGGGCUACACACGUACUACAAUGGUCGGUACAGAGGGUUGCGAAGCCGCGAGGUGGAGCCAAUCCCAGAAAACCGAUCCCAGUCCGGAUCGGAGUCUGCAACUCGACUCCGUGAAGUCGGAAUCGCUAGUAAUCGCGAAUCAGCUAUGUCGCGGUGAAUACGUUCCCGGGCCUUGUACACACCGCCCGUC
RNAcentral lists this ribosomal RNA (1393 nucleotides) under uncultured Mycobacterium sp. RNAcentral's name for it is "partial 16S ribosomal RNA". It matches the Rfam family "Bacterial small subunit ribosomal RNA". Lineage: Bacteria; Bacillati; Actinomycetota; Actinomycetes; Mycobacteriales; Mycobacteriaceae. The record is from RNAcentral.